CCUACGGGUGGCUGCAGUGGGGAAUAUUGCACAAUGGGCGCAAGCCUGAUGCAGCCAUGCCGCGUGUGUGAAGAAGGCCUUCGGGUUGUAAAGCACCUUCAGCGGGGAGGAAGGCGGUGAGGUUAAUAACCUCAUCGAUUGACGUUACCCGCAGAAGAAGCACCGGCUAACUCCGUGCCAGCAGCCGCGGUAAUACGGAGGGUGCAAGCGUUAAUCGGAAUUACUGGGCGUAAAGCGCACGCAGGCGGUCUGUCAAGUCGGAUGUGAAAUCCCCGGGCUCAACCUGGGAACUGCAUUCGAAACUGGCAGGCUAGAGUCUUGUAGAGGGGGGUAGAAUUCCAGGUGUAGCGGUGAAAUGCGUAGAGAUCUGGAGGAAUACCGGUGGCGAAGGCGGCCCCCUGGACAAAGACUGACGCUCAGGUGCGAAAGCGUGGGGAGCAAACAGGAUUAGAUACCCUAGUAGUC
Molecule: ribosomal RNA, 465 nt
Filed under: uncultured Klebsiella sp.
Lineage: Bacteria; Pseudomonadati; Pseudomonadota; Gammaproteobacteria; Enterobacterales; Enterobacteriaceae
Description: bacterial SSU rRNA
Rfam family: Bacterial small subunit ribosomal RNA
Source: RNAcentral